AUUUCAUUUGUGUAUUACCUGUCUGUGUGUAUCUUGAUAUAUUUACAUGUAUGUAUGUUAUAAUGUAGUGACUAGUUUUAAAAUUGUAUUUCAAUUUAAUACUAUUUUACUGAAUGGGAUCAAAUAUCCGCUGCUUUUUUUCUAAACAUGCUAAAUGGGUUUUAAUUAGAACCUUGGUGCAAUUUGGGUAUUGUGAGAUUAUAGGUCUUAUUUAUGAGGUUUAAACAUAUAUGAUAAGGUAUAACUUUUUUAUAUUCAAAAUAUAUGAAAAUGAUUUGAUACUGAAUAUGUCAUUCUCAGCACUACCACAAAGGGAUUGAAGUGUCAUGGAGAAGGAAUCCCAAUUUAUUUCCCUCAUUAGUUCAAUACAGUGUUAUCAUAAUUGAAGUGCAGAUUUUCUUAUUCCCUUUAUGUUACUGCCAAAUUUUAACUGCCUUCUUUUCUUGUAGCCACCCUGCAUGGUUUCUGGAAAAGUUUUGUUGGUUAAUAAGCAGAAUUUUUUUUUGAUGCUUUUUAAUUUGGAAGUUGUAUGAGAACAAGACGAUUUAAGUGAUUGUCCAAACUGUCAAAAGAGUAAAAUUAAUGCUGCACUUAUUUUUUGUGCAAUGUUGUUUUAACUGGUGCUAAGUAUAAAGUUAAUAAACUGAUCCUUGUUGGUUGUAAUUAUAUACCAGGGUAAUUGUUUUCGAUGGUUACAAUUAGGGUUGUUUUACAUAAUUGUAUUUUAUACAUGUAAAAGUUGUUACAUGCUUUUUUGUUAUAUUUUUGUUAGUUUUUUACUUGAAUAUAGCCAGAUCAUUCCUGUAUACCUAGUCCAAUAUAAAUAUUAUUCAGAAAUGUUCAGAAAUAGUUUAGAGUUUUAAUGUGAUACACACUAAGCUUGGGUAGAUAUCUAUUUUUAGGAGAUAUUUGGAACUUUUGACAUAAAAACAAAUUUGGCAUGUUUAAAUCCUAAAGUGUAAAAUAUUUUUUUUGCAAAUUUAGAUUAAACACCAUUUUAAAGAAAAUGAAAUUGAAAAAAAUCUCUCAUUCUCUCUGGCCAUCUUUAUGUUUGCAUAAAUAAGUCAAAGGAUCUGUAUGAAAAAAAUAAUUUUGUGCCAACAAAAAAACAUUCCAAAAUAGCUCUAUUCCUUUAAACAAAGUUUAGAUAAAACACUAUUUUAAGAAUAGACAUUUUAAUAUAGCCAGCAAAUUUUAUUUAUGCAGUAUAGAUUGUCUUCAUAUAAGUUUGUUAUAUAAAUUGCCAAAAGUACCAUACAAGCAUUAAAGUACAAAUAUUAAGUAAGAUGUAAUUAUUGUUAUUGGGUAAGA
This 1311-nucleotide long non-coding RNA is filed under the name Mytilus galloprovincialis (Mediterranean mussel). The record is from RNAcentral. Lineage: Eukaryota; Metazoa; Mollusca; Bivalvia; Mytilida; Mytilidae.